Molecule: ribosomal RNA, 546 nt
Filed under: uncultured bacterium
Lineage: Bacteria
Description: bacterial SSU rRNA
Rfam family: Bacterial small subunit ribosomal RNA
Source: RNAcentral
AAUAGAUACCCUGGUAGUCCACGCAGUAAACGAUGGAGACUAGGUGUGGCGGGAGUUGGACCCCUGCCGUGCCGGCGCUAACGCAGUAAGUCUCCCGCCUGGGGAGUACGGCCGCAAGGCUAAAACUCAAAGGAAUUGACGGGGGGCCCGCACAAGCAGCGGAGCGUGUGGUUUUAAUUCGACGCAACGCGCAACACCUUACCAAGGUUUGACAUCCCUGGAACCUGCCUGAAAGGGUGGGGUGCCUUCGGGAGCCAGGAGACAGGUGCUGCAUGGCUGUCGUCAGCUCGUGUCGUGAGAUGUUGGGUUAAGUCCCGCAACGAGCGCAACCCCCGUGGCUAGUUACGAGGUGUGUCUAGCCAGACUGCCGGAACCAAACCGGAGGAAGGUGGGGAUGAUGUCAAGUCAGCAUGGCCCUUACGCCUUGGGCGACACACACGCUACAAUGGCCGGGACAAUGGGCAGCCAAGCGGUAACGCGGAGCCAAUCCCCCAAACCCGGUCUCAGUUCAGAUCGUGGGCUGCAACUCGCCCACGUGAAGGCGGU